Molecule: ribosomal RNA, 406 nt
Filed under: uncultured bacterium
Lineage: Bacteria
Description: partial 16S ribosomal RNA
Rfam family: Bacterial small subunit ribosomal RNA
Source: RNAcentral
AAUAUUGCACAAUGGGGGAAACCCUGACGCAGCGACGCCGCGUGAGCGAUGAAGGUCUUCGGAUCGUAAAGCUCUGUCCUUGGGGAAGAAGGGCUUCGGCCUUGACGGUCCCCAAGAAGAAAGCCCCUGCUAACUUCGUCCCAGCAACCGCGGUAAUUCGUAGGGGUCGAGCGUUUGCCGGAAUUACUGGGGGUAAAGGGUGCGUAGGCGGCCCUUUAAGUCAGAUGUGAAAGGCCACGGCUUAACCGUGGAACUGCAUUUGAAACUGGAGGGCUUGAGUGUCGGAGAGGGUAGUGGAAUUCCCAGUGUAGCGGUGAAAUGCGUAGAUAUUGGGAGGAACACCAGUGGCGAAGGCGACUACCUGGACGAUAACUGACGCUGAGGCACGAAAGCUAGGGGAGCAAAC